RNAcentral lists this non-coding RNA (115 nucleotides) under Desulfosporosinus orientis. Its description in RNAcentral is "c-di-GMP sequence". It matches the Rfam family "c-di-GMP-I riboswitch aptamer". From Rfam's summary of the family: GEMM was predicted in a large-scale screen for bacterial structured RNA regulatory elements. Genes associated with GEMM are involved in a diverse array of functions, including chemotaxis regulation, signal transduction, secretion and chitin. Lineage: Bacteria; Bacillati; Bacillota; Clostridia; Eubacteriales; Desulfitobacteriaceae. The record is from RNAcentral. RNAcentral also lists the same sequence under 1 other name.
GUUCGGUUGGAGCAAACUUCGCGAAAGCGUAGGACGCUAAAGUCAUGGGUCUAAGGCCCGCCUGAGAGAAUAUUACUAUACUCUUCAGACAGGUUAUGAUCGCCAGACUACAAGC